Vulpes vulpes (red fox) is the source of this 1754-nucleotide long non-coding RNA. The record is from Ensembl. Lineage: Eukaryota; Metazoa; Chordata; Mammalia; Carnivora; Canidae.
CAAGAACACAGAGGAGGGAGUGAAUAAUUGUGACAUGUUACUUGGAGAUGCAUCAGGACAAGAGCCACUGGAGAUACUUUACUGCAAGGCUCCAACAAUGUCCCUAAGAGGCUUCAUCUUGGCCGAGAAUCUUCCAUUAAAAGCUGUUGGUUGGAUGAGUGGCAGCUUCCGAGCAAAGUUUCUGAGACGUAGAUCUGGCCAUCGUCUGUAAGAUGCACUGCAAUAGGCUGCUGCCAAGAGGAAAUGAAUAGUGUCUUUUGAGAUAUUCACAGACAUCCGGUACGGACUGGGGAGCUUGCUUUGAGAGCCAGCAUUUAGUCUAUUUUCUGUAUUUGAACCAUUCUGGACAAAGGCUGCCCCCAACGCUGUGACAGGGCCUUCCCGCACACCAGAUGCAGGACAGCUCUUCCUCCCCGCUCUCUGCAAACACUUGUCCUCAUCCUCCCAUCCUGCUCCUGCUGGUUUCUUGCUCUGGCACCUGGGCGAGUAUGCAGGUGUGCGGCGGGUGUUGUGCCCUCAGCCUCUGCUCCCUACUCAGCACAGGGGACAUCCCAGGACAGGGAAGAAUCUGCUCUAUGACGAGGUGUAAACACCCCGUGGUGCAGCAGUUUCCCGGCCAGCUGUCCUCCUGCAGACCCACCAUGGAAAAGAAUGAGCCCUUGCGCCAACCCUCACACCUCAUGUGUGUGCUGGACAUUCUACAAAAGUUUUGCAGGCCACUCUCACAGUGCCAGUACAAGAGCACGCUUACAGAUGUAAUUCUAGUCACACUUUCCUCCCGACUUGUAAGUGGCUGCAGCAGUAAUGUAUUUGCACGGACCCACUCCCACCCAAUUUCCUUAGUGUCAGAUGCUCUGUGUCCGAGCCCACACGGAGCCUCUCAUCUCUGUGGGAAAUAAAGACAUUCUAGGGGCCUUCACCUUCUACUCAGCCAACUUCAUCCCUAAGGCUUAGGAGACAGGGGUGCUGGCCUUGCUCUCUGUUGAGACCGACCCUUUCUCUGGUGAUAUCUCCCACUGGAGUCUGCUCUUUCCUGCCCCAAAGGACCGAGUCCUGACUUUGUAUCUCCAGCAUGUACAAGUUCCUGUUCCUUGUUGGCUGCGCCUUCUCAGGUUCUUCAUCCUUUAGCCAGUUUUCAGUGUCAUAAGGUACCACCGCCGUGAAGAGGUGAAUGGGUGAGCUGGCGGGUGGCGGGGGCUGAGGGGAGAGCCCCACAGCCAGCUGGCAUGAGGCUGCCCACCUGCCGCUGAGCUGGGGCAUCUUUCUGUGGGUCACAGUGUCCCUUCUUCCCCGGAAGUUAGCCCUUGCUGUCUUUACCCCUGCAUGUGCCUCCAUCCUCACAACUGGACUUCUGUCUUCCCUCCCCCGGGCUCCCCUCACCACCCAGUGCACCUCAGAGUCUCACCGGGGUCUCAGGCCGCAGCUAACCUGCCAGUCGAGGAGCAGGGAGCACAGGAGAGCCGAAGCCCGGUGACCAGGCAGGGCUGGCCUCCGCAGGGGUCAGGAAGCUGCGUCCACACAGCUAGAAGCUCCGUCCGUGAGGGGCUCCCCGGCUGCUCGUUGGCCUGUCAGGUCUACUUUCUUUCCCACCAACACACCCAGAGUGUGACCAGGUACAAGGUCCCAAAACUAUGCCAGGAAGAACCUUCCUGACAGUUCCUAGGACGUGGUGGCUCUCUUGUUUCCCUCAUGCUAGGUUGGCUUUACAGAACACAAGAAAUAAAGUUGCUUUGUCAGAGUAUUGAAAAUAAAGU